UACGAAGGGGGCUAGCGUUGCUCGGAAUCACUGGGCGUAAAGCGCACGUAGGCGGCUUUUUAAGUCAGAGGUGAAAUCCUGGAGCUCAACUCCAGAACUGCCUUUGAUACUGGAGAGCUUCGAGUCCGGGAGAGGUGAGUGGAACUGCGAGUGUAGAGGUGAAAUUCGUAGAUAUUCGCAAGAACACCAGUGGCGAAGGCGGCUCACUGGCCCGGUACUGACGC
Molecule: ribosomal RNA, 224 nt
Filed under: uncultured bacterium
Lineage: Bacteria
Description: partial 16S ribosomal RNA
Rfam family: Bacterial small subunit ribosomal RNA
Source: RNAcentral